GAACGACUCUCGGCAACGGAUAUCUCGGCUCUCGCAUCGAUGAAGAACGUAGCGAAAUGCGAUACUUGGUGUGAAUUGCAGAAUCCCGUGAACCAUCGAGUCUUUGAACGCAAGUUGCGCCCGAAGCCGUCAGGYUGAGGGCACGUCUGCCUGGGCGUCACG
RNAcentral lists this ribosomal RNA (162 nucleotides) under Halgania solanacea. Its description in RNAcentral is "5.8S ribosomal RNA". It matches the Rfam family "5.8S ribosomal RNA". From Rfam's summary of the family: 5.8S ribosomal RNA (5.8S rRNA) is a component of the large subunit of the eukaryotic ribosome. It is transcribed by RNA polymerase I as part of the 45S precursor that also contains 18S and 28S rRNA. The record is from RNAcentral. Lineage: Eukaryota; Viridiplantae; Streptophyta; Magnoliopsida; Boraginales; Ehretiaceae.